This 237-nucleotide ribosomal RNA is filed under the name uncultured bacterium. RNAcentral describes it as "partial 16S ribosomal RNA". It matches the Rfam family "Archaeal small subunit ribosomal RNA", at positions 474 to 711 of the family's 1478-position model. The record is from RNAcentral.
UACCAGCACCCCGAGUGGUCGGGACGUUUAUUGGGCCUAAAGCAUCCGUAGCCGGUUCUACAAGUCUUCCGUUAAAUCCACCUGCUUAACAGAUGGGCUGCGGAAGAUACUAUGGAGCUAGGAGGCGGGAGAGGCAAGCGGUACUCGAUGGGUAGGGGUAAAAUCCGUUGAUCCAUUGAAGACCACCAGUGGCGAAGGCGGCUUGCCAGAACGCGCUCGACGGUGAGGGAUGAAAGC